Long non-coding RNA from Notolabrus celidotus (New Zealand spotty), 371 nucleotides. RefSeq lists it as uncharacterized. The transcript has 3 exons. The record is from RefSeq and is a predicted model, not a curated record. Lineage: Eukaryota; Metazoa; Chordata; Actinopteri; Labriformes; Labridae.
GUUAGCUAGCAAGAAAAGUAAGGUUAGCCUGCUAGCUGUUGCUCAGCUAGGCGUCAUGGUUCAAACAUUGGUGUCGACAGAACAUGAUGGACCUGCAGGGAGAGAGAUACAGCCACAGAACAGUGCACCGGGUUGGGGACUGCUCACUGUCAGCGGAUGGAGACUGAAACUUUAUUCCUGACAUACUGAGAAAUGUUCCUGACUCAGUACGACAUCCGGGGAGUUUUGGCAUACUGCAGAUUUUGCUCUUGUUCACUACAGACUGAAUUUUGGCCAGAUCAGUACGUACUGCUAGUAGGCAUACUGCAAGGAUAUCCUUGCAUCUGCCCACCGAGGUGAUAUAACAUCAUGUGAACAACAUCAACAUGUAA